RNAcentral lists this transfer RNA (75 nucleotides) under Candidatus Daviesbacteria bacterium RIFCSPHIGHO2_01_FULL_43_17. Its description in RNAcentral is "tRNA-Ile". It matches the Rfam family "tRNA". Rfam says of the family: Transfer RNA (tRNA) molecules are approximately 80 nucleotides in length. Their secondary structure includes four short double-helical elements and three loops (D, anti-codon, and T loops). Lineage: Bacteria; Candidatus Daviesiibacteriota. The record is from RNAcentral. RNAcentral also lists the same sequence under 2 other names.
GGGCGGAUGGCGCAAUGGUAGCGCGAAUCUCUUAUACAGAUUUGGUUCCUGGUUCGAGUCCAGGUCCGCCCACCA